This 465-nucleotide ribosomal RNA is filed under the name uncultured Klebsiella sp. RNAcentral describes it as "bacterial SSU rRNA". It matches the Rfam family "Bacterial small subunit ribosomal RNA", at positions 338 to 795 of the family's 1533-position model. The record is from RNAcentral. Lineage: Bacteria; Pseudomonadati; Pseudomonadota; Gammaproteobacteria; Enterobacterales; Enterobacteriaceae.
CCUACGGGGGGCAGCAGUGGGGAAUAUUGCACAAUGGGCGCAAGCCUGAUGCAGCCAUGCCGCGUGUGUGAAGAAGGCCUUCGGGUUGUAAAGCACUUUCAGCGGGGAGGAAGGCGUUAAGGUUAAUAACCUUAGCGAUUGACGUUACCCGCAGAAGAAGCACCGGCUAACUCCGUGCCAGCAGCCGCGGUAAUACGGAGGGUGCAAGCGUUAAUCGGAAUUACUGGGCGUAAAGCGCACGCAGGCGGUCUGUCAAGUCGGAUGUGAAAUCCCCGGGCUCAACCUGGGAACUGCAUUCGAAACUGGCAGGCUAGAGUCUUGUAGAGGGGGGUAGAAUUCCAGGUGUAGCGGUGAAAUGCGUAGAGAUCUGGAGGAAUUCCGGUGGCGAAGGCGGCCCCCUGGACAAAGACUGACGCUCAGGUGCGAAAGCGUGGGGAGCAAACAGGAUUAGAUACCCGGGUAGUC